Long non-coding RNA from Homo sapiens (human), 927 nucleotides. Ensembl annotates it as long intergenic non-protein coding RNA 2308. The record is from Ensembl. NCBI's taxonomy places the organism in Eukaryota, Metazoa, Chordata, Mammalia, Primates, Hominidae.
AGCCCCAGACGGGCUCUGCCAUCAACCUGCAGCUCCUCCUGAGCUGCGGCUCUUCCCGCUCUGCCCCCAACACAAGGAGAGCCCCGACUUGGGAGGAGGGCUUUUCAGAUCGCAGCUUGGCCUGAGGCAGAGCCAGAGCGAUGAGGUCACCCAGCACAGCUGCUAACUAUUUCAAGGAAACAGGUGGUGGCUCUGGCCUUUUCAUGGGCUUGGAGUUUUCUGGGAGAGGCCUCUUCAAGGGCGUCCUUGAAGCCCAGCCAUGGAUGUCCCUGUGGUUGGGAAAGGGGAGCUCAGGGUAAUGGAGUAUCCUCAAGAACCUGCAGAUAUUACCUCCCUCCAGAACCGUGGUCUCAGCCCUGGCUGCAUAUUCCUUCAACGGGAGGGCUUUAGAAAUGCUGUGCCAGAGCUGCACCCCAGACCAACAAAAUCAGACUCUCCAGGAUGCGGCCAAGGCAUCAGUAUGUGGAAAGCUUUCAGGAAAACUGAGCAAAAUGAAAGCCAAUUCAAAGAAGAAGGAAUUAAGUACAUAAUUGUGCAGAUGAUACAUGGAAAUGGUAAGAAUGGUGACAAUGGGACGUAAGUGACUGAAAUUUGGGAUACAUUGGAUUAGAAGAAAAUAAGCCCCCAAGAAACCGGUAAGAAGGAUAUUGCAACAGCACGAGAGAUUUUAAACUCCUUGAUAUCAGAAAGACUUAUCUUCUAUUAAUUUUGUUUUCCUCUCAGGAAUAAGUCUGGAGGGCAGCAAGAGUGACUGUCCAGCUAAGAACCUCAUCAGCAAUACAAAACAUUGUCACAGAUGUUGAAACAGACCCUGAGGUUAAUGCAUUCUUUCCAACAUUAGGUCCUAAAACUUCUCCUGAAAAGCUACCUUAAAUCUAACUUUUGAAAGUGCACAAUAAAGGUGAAUUAAAUAAAAGCAACUUGAAA